AGAAAGAAAACAGGGGUUGACAGAGAGAGAUAGAAAAAGAAAAUGAGCAAGAGAGAGACUGGGAAAGACAGAGAUCAAAGAGAGACACAGAAGGUGAGACUGGGGAGAGAGAUAAUGUAAAAGGAAGAAAGAGUACAAGAGGAAGUGAGAGGAUGCAGAGAGGCUGGCAGGGCUGAGAAAAGGAUCUAGAGGCUCAAGCAACAAGGAGGUGCAGGGAAAGGGUGGAGCAUGGCCACUGAGGAGAGACAGAGCCAGAGAACUGGAGGAUGCAAGUGAGAAAGGGAUGUGGAGGAGAGUGUAGAAUCAGGCUGCUUGAGGAAUAGUAGGCUGCCUACAGCAAAGACUAGAUGGCUGUAUGUCAGGAGGUAAAUAGAGAGGAUUCAGGUUAUGAAAGGGUAAACCGAUAAGAUGACCGUUAAGGUUUUGUUGUUUUACUGAGAGGCUGUAAAUCCACCAGGGGAAGCUGUCACUAAGGCUGCAGAGGGGCUGGAGAGCUACACAGGGAAGAUCAGAACUACUGUUGUAAACAAUGCCGCUGGGUUAGGGUCUCCCCGACUGAGCUGGUAUCAGCAAAUGGCAUCCAUCAUGGGGACUCAAAUCCAGGUCAAAGGUUUGCCAGAGGGAUGGUUGGAGAACAUGGAACUAG
This 646-nucleotide long non-coding RNA is filed under the name Homo sapiens (human). Its description in RNAcentral is "HSALNT0408120". Lineage: Eukaryota; Metazoa; Chordata; Mammalia; Primates; Hominidae. The record is from RNAcentral.